ACCCAUCCUUCAAGCAGAUUCAACAGCGGCGCAAUUCCCCCAAUUCAUCUCAAAUCCUUCGUCAGUUUUGAUUUCGAUUCCUCUCAGACCCAUCAUGAACUUUGACUCUUCUUAAACCCUAAUUUCGUAUUCUCCCAAUUUCUUGAUGAAACCAUUUAGCUAGCAAUUCAACUCAACAUUUUGGUGCUACAAUCGCAAUUCAACUCAACAUUUCGAUGCUACAAUCUCAAUUCAUCUCAGCAUCGCAACUCAACGUCUCGUAUUCUCAUAAUUGUUGUCUCUUCUGCUGGAUAUUCCCUCUUUAGCUUUUCAAGAUUUCUCUUCGGCGAAUGUCCAUCUAUUUUUCGCGUUUUCUACUUCAAAGGUGGAAUCAAGGUUUUCGGUUGUGGCUUCAGGUGUAAAUCAUCAAGUUUCAUCAAGAGAGCUUUAACAUACAUCAUUGGUAGACUUCUUACUCGAGAUCAUUGAUCCACAGUGGUUUCUCCAACUAAAUUGUUGGAUUCACACUCUAUUUGCUAGCUGGCUCUGAGUGAGAAAGGCUAUGAACUUGUUUCCGGUGGGACUGAAAAUCAUCUAGUUUUGGUGAAUAUGAAGAAAAAGGUAACCCGAUAACUACUUUGACUUUGCUUGAGAAGAUGAAGUCGGUGUACACGAAUGUAGAAGAUCUUCCUCCGGAUUGAAUUGUGGAAAACAAUUGCUUCUCCAGGGCGUGGUAUUUUGGCCAUGGAUGAAUCCAAUGGUACAUGUGGAAAGCGGUUGGAUUCAAUUGGACUAGAGAACAACCGAAGCUAACCGUCAAGCAUGGCGUAAAAUUAUAUAUGAAGAAGGUGUUAUGACUUGGUUAAAAUAUAAUUUUUAUG
Molecule: long non-coding RNA, 860 nt
Organism: Vicia villosa (hairy vetch)
Lineage: Eukaryota; Viridiplantae; Streptophyta; Magnoliopsida; Fabales; Fabaceae
Exons: 4
Source: RefSeq, a predicted model, not a curated record